GACGAACGCUGGCGGCGUGCCUAAUACAUGCAAGUUGAACGCUUCUUUCUUAUCGAACUUCGGUUCACCAAGAAAGAGGAGUAGCGAACGGGUGAGUAACACGUGGGUAACCUGCCCAUCAGCGGGGGAUAACACUUGGAAACAGGUGCUAAUACCGCAUAAUGCUUUUUCUCACAUGAGAGAAAGCUGAAAGGCGCUUUUGCGUCACUGAUGGAUGGACCCGCGGUGCAUUAGCUAGUUGGUAGGGUAACGGCCUACCAAGGCAAACGAUGCAUAGCCGACCUGAGAGGGUGAUCGGCCACACUGGGACUGAGACACGGCCCAGACUCCUACGGGAGGCAGCAGUAGGGAAUCUUCGGCAAUGGACGAAAGUCUGACCGAGCAACGCCGCGUGAGUGAAGAAGGUUUUCGGAUCGUAAAAACUCUUUGUUAGAGAAGG
This 439-nucleotide ribosomal RNA is filed under the name Enterococcus italicus. RNAcentral's name for it is "bacterial SSU rRNA". It matches the Rfam family "Bacterial small subunit ribosomal RNA", at positions 28 to 447 of the family's 1533-position model. The record is from RNAcentral. Lineage: Bacteria; Bacillati; Bacillota; Bacilli; Lactobacillales; Enterococcaceae.